AUCCAUGGGAAACUCACAUGCCCAUACAUGAUGUGAUAUGUUUUUUCUCCAAAAUAAUGCAAACCAUAGUUUUGCACUGGGCUGUAUUUUUUACUGCAUCCUCUAGUCCAUUUCUGCUGCACAGCUAAGCAGGGCAGAGGCAAACUCCAUCCAAACAAGGAAGGGGAGGAAGAUGCAUUGCAAAAUUAUGGCUGGGUCACGUGAGUGGAGAAUACAGGCACAGAAAGUUUUUGACUGGAAGGCCCAGCUCAGAAAUGUGUUGUCUGCAUUUUAGUGCUUCUGCAUCGUGAGUUGCUCAGUGCAUUUACACUUCCUGGAAAGGAGAACUUUAAAAACAUGAACAGAAAACGCCUGGUAAAAUUUGUAACCAGCUCUGACUGUCUGUGGUAUGACAGCCAACAAAUAUCACCUGCUGAUGAUUUACAGAUUCCUGGGAGAUGUGGUGAUGAGUCUCAAAGAACUGGAACAAGAACAACUCACCCAAUAGACUUCUCGGGA
Calidris pugnax (ruff) is the source of this 498-nucleotide long non-coding RNA. RefSeq lists it as uncharacterized. The transcript is spliced from 3 exons. Lineage: Eukaryota; Metazoa; Chordata; Aves; Charadriiformes; Scolopacidae. The record is from RefSeq and is a predicted model, not a curated record.